This is a non-coding RNA of Pelobates cultripes (western spadefoot toad), 208 nucleotides long. The record is from the annotation of a GenBank genome assembly. NCBI's taxonomy places the organism in Eukaryota, Metazoa, Chordata, Amphibia, Anura, Pelobatidae.
CCAGACUAUUAUUCAGCUGUUUAUGCUAGCAGUUUUUUUUUAUAAUGCUAUUAUAAACAAUCAUUCUGCAACAUGAAGCCAAACCAGAAAGAAAAAUCAACUUUAAAAAAAAGGUAAGAACAAAAAUGACAAAGAUGACAUUAACUAGAUAAAAUGUAUUAUACAUACAUUAUUUUGUUCCAGCUAAGUACAGAGUAUUGUAAAACGG